UGUGCCCGGUCCAUCCUGACCGCUGCUGCCAUACUGCAGCAAACAGGAGGGAACGGAGAGCACCCAGUAUAAGACGGUGGAGCGGGUGGUGCAGACUCUGAAGAACCUGUGCUGUGCUCUGGACGAGACGGAGACCCAGGCCAUCACUGAGGCCGUCAAAAGGCUGAAACACUCCGUCAACUUACCCCAGACACGCUCCCCCAAGAUGGGGUCCACAUCGUCUGGUCAAUCGUCAAAUGGUACGUACACACAGUCACACUCCACCUCCACUUAUUUAAUUUAAAUGUGAUUGUUGCAGCUUAUCAUGUCAAUGUGGUGCAAAGAUGCAUUACAGACAGAAAUAACUUUUAAAUAAAGUCACUGUCAAGUGUCUAAGGCUAUUUAAAGACUAUGUGGCUUAUUCUAUUACGGUAUGAAUCAUUCAAAGCUUCAUAGCAUCAUUAAUGCUUGCAUUAAAAUUGUAAAACGUUUAAUUUGUAUCUAUUUGUCCCUAUCAUGUCCUGAGAGCCCUCCAUCCCCCAAUUGCUAGUGCCUUCACCAUUUAAAAUG
Molecule: long non-coding RNA, 549 nt
Organism: Trematomus bernacchii (emerald rockcod)
Lineage: Eukaryota; Metazoa; Chordata; Actinopteri; Perciformes; Nototheniidae
Exons: 3
Source: RefSeq, a predicted model, not a curated record